UUGGACUUUUUCAGAUUUGGGGAU
Molecule: microRNA, 24 nt
Filed under: Homo sapiens (human)
Lineage: Eukaryota; Metazoa; Chordata; Mammalia; Primates; Hominidae
Description: hsa-miR-5009-5p
Source: miRBase by way of RNAcentral